GUGUCAGCCGCCGCGGUAAUACGUAUGGGGCAAGCGUUGUUCGGAUUUAUUGGGCGUAAAGGGCGUGUAGGCGGCUCAUCAAGUCUGGUGUGAAAUCGCAGGGCUUAACCCUGCAUAUGCGCUGGAAACUGGUGGGCUUGAGUUCUUGAGGGGAAGCUGGAAUUCCAGGUGUAGGGGUGAAAUCUGUAGAUAUCUGGAAGAACACCGGUGGCGAAGGCGAGCUUCUAUCAGAGGACUGACGCUGAGGCGCGAAAGCGUGGGGAGCAAACAGGAUUAGAAACCCUCGUAGUCC
This 292-nucleotide ribosomal RNA is filed under the name uncultured bacterium. RNAcentral describes it as "partial 16S ribosomal RNA". It matches the Rfam family "Bacterial small subunit ribosomal RNA", at positions 505 to 796 of the family's 1533-position model. The record is from RNAcentral.